GAUGAACGCUGGCGGCGUGCCUAAUACAUGCAAGUCAAGCGAACGGACGAGAGGCUUGCUUUUCUGAUGUUAGCGGCGGGCGGGUGAGUAACACGUGGAUAACCUACCUAUAAGACUGGGAUAACUUCGGGAAACCGGAGCUAAUACCGGAUAAUAUUUUGAACCGCAUGGUUCAAAAGUGAAAGACGGUCUUGCUGUCACUUAUAGAUGGAUCCGCGCUGCAUUAGCUAGUUGGUAAGGUAACGGCUUACCAAGGCAACGAUGCAUAGCCGACCUGAGAGGGUGAUCGGCCACACUGGAACUGAGACACGGUCCAGACUCCUACGGGAGGCAGCAGUAGGGAAUCUUCCGCAAUGGGCGAAAGCCUGACGGAGCAACGCCGCGUGAGUGAUGAAGGUCUUCGGAUCGUAAAACUCUGUUAUUAGGGAAGAACAUAUGUGUAAGUAACUGUGCACAUCUUGACGGUACCUAAUCAGAAAGCCACGGCUAACUACGUG
This 497-nucleotide ribosomal RNA is filed under the name uncultured bacterium. RNAcentral describes it as "partial 16S ribosomal RNA". It matches the Rfam family "Bacterial small subunit ribosomal RNA", at positions 28 to 507 of the family's 1533-position model. The record is from RNAcentral.